Non-coding RNA from Mycena epipterygia, 101 nucleotides. NCBI's taxonomy places the organism in Eukaryota, Fungi, Basidiomycota, Agaricomycetes, Agaricales, Mycenaceae. The record is from the annotation of a GenBank genome assembly.
GCGGACGUGGUGCACGGUGCACCGCUGCAUUCAAUAACAGUUGAUAUGCUUCUAGAGUGCCAUUUGAGCAGCUAGCCGGGGUUCGACUCCCCGCGUCCGCA